AUACGUAGGGUGCGAGCGUUGUCCGGAUUUACUGGGUGUAAAGGGCGCGUAGGCGGGAUGGCAAGUCAGAUGUGAAAUCUCCGGGCUCAACCCGGAAACUGCAUUUGAAACUGUCGUUCUUGAGUAUCGGAGAGGCAAGCGGAAUUCCUAGUGUAGCGGUGAAAUGCGUAGAUAUUAGGAGGAACACCAGUGGCGAAGGCGGCUUGCUGGACGACAACUGACGCUGAGGCGCGAAAGCGUGGGGAGCAAACAGGAUUAGAUCCCCUGGUAGUCCACGCCGUAAACGAUGAAUACUAGGUGUGGGGGGACUGACCCCCUCCGUGCCGCAGUUAACACAAUAAGUAUUCCACCUGGGGAGUACGGCCGCAAGGUUGAAACUUAAAUGAAUUGGCGGGG
Molecule: ribosomal RNA, 396 nt
Filed under: uncultured bacterium
Lineage: Bacteria
Description: partial 16S ribosomal RNA
Rfam family: Bacterial small subunit ribosomal RNA
Source: RNAcentral